UACAGAGGGUGCGAGCGUUAAUCGGAAUUACUGGGCGUAAAGCGCACGUAGGCGGCUUGGUAUGUCGGGUGUGAAAUCCCCGGGCUCAACCUGGGAACUGCAUCCGAAACUGCCUUGCUAGAGUAUGGGGGAGGGAAGUGGAAUUUCCGGUGUAGCAGUGAAAUGCGUAGAUAUCGGAAGGAACACCAGUGGCGAAGGCGACUUCCUGGACCAAUACUGACGCUCAGGUGCGAAAGCGUGGGGAGCAAACAGG
Molecule: ribosomal RNA, 253 nt
Filed under: uncultured bacterium
Lineage: Bacteria
Description: partial 16S ribosomal RNA
Rfam family: Bacterial small subunit ribosomal RNA
Source: RNAcentral